Molecule: non-coding RNA, 1595 nt
Organism: Peromyscus maniculatus bairdii (prairie deer mouse)
Lineage: Eukaryota; Metazoa; Chordata; Mammalia; Rodentia; Cricetidae
Source: RefSeq, a predicted model, not a curated record
ACAUCAGAACACAUGAAUAGUAUGCAACAGGGUCUCAGGAGCUGCAGGUUAAUGUUCCUGCAUCUUUUACUGGUGCUUUCCUUUGAUCCUCUAGAGGGGCCCUGGCUGCUUCAUUGUCAGUGAAGAAAAACUGAAAACAUCGCCCGUGCAAGUUGUCAAGCCCUGGGUUUACCUCACAAAGUCCCCAAGUGGAGCUACUUACAGACAAGAUGUGGCAUGUUUCAGUUAUCCCUUAGUUCCCAGCCCAUCUUCAUAAGAAGAUGAGAACACUGCAUGUAAUCUAACAAGAGUCGAGAACAGCCAUCUUGCCUUGCCGUUUGUCUCAGGAGAGCACUGUGUCAUCCACCAGUGAGUAUCAUCUUAGACACAGAGUUUCCAAGCUCCCUCCACACUGAGAACUUCAAUCAAGAUGAGGACUCACUUGCAAAAAGCUUUUCUCCAUCUACUGAGUUGAUUGAAUGUUUUCUGUCUUCUCUUCUACAGAACUGACCCACAAAAUGAUGAUGAAUCAGCCAUGUAUCAUAGAGGUGAUUUUUUUGGUCUGGUCACAGUUACCAUUGAUUUCUUUCAUUAUUUUACUCUUUCCUAUUUUUUUUAUUUUCACACUAAUUAAUUCCUUACUUCUAUCUGCUUUUGAAUCAUUUCUGUCCUGAAUUCUAAGGCACAAAUUAAGGUUAUUGUUUUUGUAUUUUAUCACUUUAUAACAUAAAUAUUAUAAUUGUGUGAUGGUGGCAGUGAAAUAAUCUUAGUCUAAAAUAAUAUAAAUUUGUUUUCAUCCAAGAUUAAACCUUUUUUUCAAUCUGUCCUUGAAUUAAAAACAUGAUGUAUAUUUUGAUUAAUGUGCUUUUGAUAGAGUAUUGAAACUGUUUAUCCUUUCUUUGUAUGACAUAAAUUUCUGGACUUAACAAUGGCAUUUUGGUGUAAUAUAAUUUCGUCAGAAAGUUAGAAAAAAAGUUUCCUUGAAGGUGGCAAUGACUUUUAAUUAUACUUCCUUGAACAUAGCUAUCAUGUGGCUACUUUACGGUACAAGGGAAACUAGGCUGUAAACCUAAUUGGCUUCGGUGUGUUCCUUACUAUGAACUCUGUCAAGUGGGAAGCUUGUAUUUCAUGGUUUUAGAGUGAAAGCCAUGGUAAUGAAGCCUCUAAAAUGUGCCUUCCUGAAGCCUUACCUACAAGAGUCUUCAUUUUAACACCGUUAACUUUUUGCUCCAGGGGCUACUAAACAUUAAUUUUUCUGGGGCUUAAGGUCAUAUAUGCAGAGGAGAGAGGGAGAAUGCUAAUUAACUGUGAACUGUGCAUUCCGUGGUUGAAAUGCAUGGGAUUUGCAGUCUUGGCCUUGGCCUAGCACUGUGUCAGUGGUUAGCCCCUGAGCUUCUCUGAGUCUUCCAAGUCCUCAUUGCAUCGUCUGUGCAUAGUGUACACUCUUUCUCCUAGACUGUAGAAGACUAAGUGACUGUGGAGCACUUUGCCCAGAAUCAGCCUCCAGCUCCUGGUCACCAAAUGUUGGGUUCCUCUGCUCAGAGGCCAUUUCUAGAAAACCCACUCCAGCGUGAAAUGUAAUGUUACCCUCCCCACAAUAUUGUUUCUGUUGUUAU